CCCGUCUCGGCCUCCCAAAGUGCUGGGAUUACAGGCUUGAGCCACCGCGCCCGGCCCUGGAAUCUGCAUUUUAACUAGUUGCGGGGAUUGUGGGGGGCAGUAGCUGACUGUCUCGUGGCAUUUCUGUGGCUCUGAAGUGUUCCCCCAUCCCAGGACCAAUCUCUUCAUAUCUUCUCUACAGAGCCACACUGACGGCCUGACCCCCAUGGGUAGAGUCACUUAGGGGCCACUUCCUAAGUUGCUGUCCAGCCUCCGUGACCCCCUAGUGCUUCCUGGAGCUGAGGCUGUGGGCAGCCAUCCCCACGACCAGGGAAGGGGUUCCCCCAAUUUCUCAUACAAAUAGAUCAGCAUGAGGACAGAGGCAGGAGACUGGUCAGUUACCUGGGAAUUCUGGGCUGCUGGGAAACGAUUUGGGCCUCUGUCAGUUUCUUUUCCAUGUAUGAGGAGGGAGAAAUUUGUAUUUUAGAAACUUAUUCAUCCCAGUCAGGACAAUAAAAAUGAAUGGACAAAAA
Molecule: long non-coding RNA, 512 nt
Organism: Rhinopithecus roxellana (golden snub-nosed monkey)
Lineage: Eukaryota; Metazoa; Chordata; Mammalia; Primates; Cercopithecidae
Exons: 3
Source: RefSeq, a predicted model, not a curated record